GAUAGAAUUGUUUUCGUUUCUCAUUUAAUCCACAUUUAGUGAGUAUUUACUAUGUAACAGCACCUGAUAGUUGGACCAUGACCACUGAAGGCGGCAGCCUAGAAGAGGCAGUCACACAGGUAAACAAACAAGCAGAACAGGAUCAGGUGAUGGAAGAACCUAAGACACAGCAUCUGAGAUGCCUGCCUUUAGGACGCUCAUGAUUCGGAAGAGUGCAUAGACCUGCGCAGGCACGCAUAGAGGCACAUUUGGACAGUGAUAGAGACACAUUCGGUGCAAGGUAGCAACAUGCAGGAGGACUGGUCAGCAAAGUCAACUCCACAAAGAGAUUCAAGGAGGAACAUAAAGAGAAAGAAAAUGGUCCAAAGAGAAAGAAAAAGCCUGAGAAAUAGAAGAGCUCAUUUUCAUACCUCUUCACUUUUGCAUGGAGGGUCUUAUCGUAUGUAAAAUAUCAGAAAUAAGAAAUGCAAAAGCAGAAACUGACUCUGAAAAAAAAAACAGAAGUACAAAACAAAACAAUUCACAUGAAAAUGAGUAUGAAGACAUAAAGGAGAGUUGUAAAAAAAAAGAUUAAAAGAGACAUCAGCUACAGACCUUUCUGAGCACAAACAUCGUACAAAUUGGAAGAUUUCAGAUAUCUCAGAAAACAAAGAAGCCUGAUUGAAGCUCUCUCUGCCCCAGGAUGACACAGAGGCCAACAAGUGCAUUAACUCUCCUUAAAAGCAGCUCCAAAUUACAAAAGAAACACUGUUCAAAGACAAAAUAAAAAUUCAGGGACUUAUCCUAGAGAACA
Molecule: long non-coding RNA, 793 nt
Filed under: Vulpes vulpes (red fox)
Lineage: Eukaryota; Metazoa; Chordata; Mammalia; Carnivora; Canidae
Description: lncRNA (ENSVVUG00000025599.1)
Source: RNAcentral